Molecule: ribosomal RNA, 497 nt
Filed under: uncultured bacterium
Lineage: Bacteria
Description: partial 16S ribosomal RNA
Rfam family: Bacterial small subunit ribosomal RNA
Source: RNAcentral
GAUGAACGCUGGCGGCGUGCCUAAUACAUGCAAGUCGAGCGAACGGACGCGACGCUUGCUUUUCUGAUGUUAGCGGCGGACGGGUGAGUAACACGUGGAUACCCUCCCUAUAAGACUGGGAUAACUUCGGGACACCGGAGCUAAUACCGGAUAAUCUUUUGAUCCGUAUUGUUCAUAAGUGAAAGACGGUCUUGCUGUCACGUAUAGAUGGAUCCGCGCCGCAUUAGCUAGUUGGUACGGUAACGGCUUACCAAGGCAACGAUGCAUAGCCGACCUGAGAGGGUGAUCGGCCACACUGGAACGGAGACACGGUCCAGAGUACUACGGGAGGCAGCAGUAGGGAAUCUGACGCAGUGGGCGAAAGCCUGACGGAGCAACGCCGCGUGAGUGAUGAAGGUCUUGGGUUCGUAAUACUCUGUUAUUAGGGAAGAACAGAUGUGUAAGUAGAUGUGCACAGCUUGACGGUACCGAAUCAGAAAGCCACGGCUAACUACGUG